UCAGUUGCGUCUGAAAAUAUUAAAUGGAAAAUUCCAGAAAUAAACACUUCAAAAGUUUUAAACUGUGUGCCUUUCUGAGUAGCGUGAUGAAAUCUUACCCCGU
Pipistrellus kuhlii (Kuhl's pipistrelle) is the source of this 103-nucleotide long non-coding RNA. RefSeq lists it as uncharacterized. The record is from RefSeq and is a predicted model, not a curated record. Lineage: Eukaryota; Metazoa; Chordata; Mammalia; Chiroptera; Vespertilionidae. The transcript is spliced from 3 exons.